CAAUUAUUCUUUGCAACUUAGAAAUGAUAUUUUCUCCAUCGUUCUUCGAUUCAAUGGAGCAUCUUUUAGUUCACUUGCCUUAUGAGACCAAAGUUGCAGGUCCCGUCCAAUUUCGAUGGAUGUAUCCAUUUGAGAGGUUCUUAUAUCAUUUGAAGAAAAAAGUGAAGAAUAAGGCAUGUGUCGAAGCUUCAAUUUGUAAUGCAUAUAUUGUGGAAGAAGUGACAACAUUUGCAUCAUACUAUUUUGAGCCGCACGUGCAAUGCAAGAGGCGGAGAGCUGGAAGAAAUGAUGAGGGUCCCAUUGAUCCCAAUUGCAAAUCAUUCUCUAUUUUCAAUUAUUUGGGUUGACCUAGCGGCACAUGUAAGUUUCGUCACUUAACAGGCGAAGAAAAGCUGGCAGCCCAUACAUAUAUUCUAUUGAACUGUCCAGAAGUUGAGCCAUACUUCGAGAAUUUCCGAAAUGCAAUGUAUGGACUACCACCAAAUGAGUUUGACCGUUUGUGCCAGGAACAAUUUGCAACAUGGUUCAAAACAUAUGUUCACAGUAUUGAUGCUCAAGUUGGACAUCAAGGAAUGCUAUAUCAUCUAUCGUGGGGUCCAAAGUCAAGAGUAUGAACUUGGCCAGCAUAUUUCAUUAACGGGUAUAAUUUUCACACUCGCGAAUAUGGAAUGGGAAAGGCUACAAUGAAUAGUGGGGUGUGUGUUCAGUCAUCCAAUGGUGGCAAUUCGCAAGGUGAUUUCUAUGGCUUGUUGGAUGAAAUCAUAGAGAUUGAGUACCAUGGACAGUUAAUGCAGGUUGUCUUAUUUAAGUGCAUGUGGUUCGACCCCGUGAAAGGAAUGAAUGUACAUACCAAAUUUAAUUUGGUUGAAAUAAAUCACAAGAAAAGAUAUAUGAAAUAUGAACAAUUUGUCUUGGCACAACAAGCAAUUCAAGUCUAUUAUGCAUCAUAUCCUAGUUUGAAGCGUGACAAAGCCGAUUGGUGGGCUGUAUGUAAAACCAAAGCAAGAAAGAAAAUCGAGGAACACUGGAAGGACACGGCAUAUCAACAAGAGGAAGUUCGUAACAUCAAUGAAAUAGCUGAAUACAACAUUCCUACUUUACGAGAUCCAUGUGGUGCGAUGAUCGAUGUAGAUCCAACUGAAAUUCGGGAAUCAAAUUUUCAAGUUGGUACACAAUGUGAUUUUGAGACAGAGGAUGAAGAUGAUGAUCAGGAAGAAGAUGAAGAUGAAGAUGAUGACGAAGAAGAA
This is a long non-coding RNA of Syzygium oleosum, 1247 nucleotides long. RefSeq lists it as uncharacterized. NCBI's taxonomy places the organism in Eukaryota, Viridiplantae, Streptophyta, Magnoliopsida, Myrtales, Myrtaceae. The transcript has 4 exons. The record is from RefSeq and is a predicted model, not a curated record.